GGGGCUGUAGCUCAGGGGUACAGCGCUUGCCUCGCAUGCAUGAGGAGCUGGGUUCAAUCCUCAGCACCA
This 69-nucleotide transfer RNA is filed under the name Urocitellus parryii (Arctic ground squirrel). RNAcentral's name for it is "Spermophilus parryii (Arctic ground squirrel) tRNA". It matches the Rfam family "tRNA". From Rfam's summary of the family: Transfer RNA (tRNA) molecules are approximately 80 nucleotides in length. Their secondary structure includes four short double-helical elements and three loops (D, anti-codon, and T loops). Lineage: Eukaryota; Metazoa; Chordata; Mammalia; Rodentia; Sciuridae. RNAcentral also lists the same sequence under 1 other name. The record is from Rfam by way of RNAcentral.